CCUACGGGAGGCAGCAGUGGGGAAUAUUGGGCAAUGGCGGCAACUCUGACCCAGCAACGCCGCGUGAAUGAUGAAGGUCUUCGGCUUGUAAAGUUCUGUGAUGGGGGAUGAACACAAUGACGGUACCCCAAUAGCAAGCCACGGCUAACUACGUGCCUGCAGCCGCGGUAAUACGUCGGUGGCGAGCGUUCUCCGGAGUGACUGGGCGUAAAGGGUGCGUAGGUGGUCUAGUAAGUUGGCGGUGUAAUUCCGGGGCUCAACCUCGGCGCUACCGCCAAAACUAUUAGACUAGAGUGCAGGGGGGGUAAGGGGAAGUCCUGGUGUAGCGGUGGAAUGCGUAGAUAUGAGGAGGAACAUCAGGGGCGAGGGCGAGUUACGGGACUGUAACGGACACUGAGGAACGAAAGCGUGGGGAGCAAACAGGAUUAGAUACCCUGUAGUC
This 442-nucleotide ribosomal RNA is filed under the name uncultured bacterium. Its description in RNAcentral is "partial 16S ribosomal RNA". It matches the Rfam family "Bacterial small subunit ribosomal RNA", at positions 338 to 795 of the family's 1533-position model. The record is from RNAcentral.